Molecule: long non-coding RNA, 1072 nt
Organism: Megalobrama amblycephala (Wuchang bream)
Lineage: Eukaryota; Metazoa; Chordata; Actinopteri; Cypriniformes; Xenocyprididae
Exons: 5
Source: RefSeq, a predicted model, not a curated record
CAUACAGAGCGGCACAAAGCGGUUAUGCGCAUCCCGUGUGCAGAAUGAUGCGCUUGAAGCAUCAUGGAGUCACGGCGCUCCGCAUUGAAAAGUUCAAAGCACAAAGAGAAGAUAUAUUGAUGGGUAUUGUAUUACCGUUAUCUUGAUGAAGUAUAAUAAUAGAAACAUUGAUUCAUCUUGGAGAGUGUUUCAUUGUGUUGACUGUCAUAACCGAACGCGACACGCAGUCUGAAUUCAUUAAUGCUGAAUGGAGAAUGACUGACUGCCGCAGCGGAGGGAGGCAUUUAGGCUACGUGAACUUUCAUUUAACGACUUAAAUAUUUAUCUGUACCUCAAAUUAAACUAUGGAAUGGCUUCAGAACACUUGGAAUAUAGUGCACAGAAACUUUAUGGUGCUUUUUUAAUGUUUUUGUGCCUUUUGUGGAGCUUAACAAUAACAGAAUAGUACACGCACAGUAUCGGAUUUGGAUCGGUGCACUCCGGCCGAUACCCGAUCCGGCAAAAAUGGCAGUAUCGGAGCCGAUACCGAUCUGAAUAUCGGAUCGGUGCAUCCCUAGUUUGCAUGUGUCAUUCAUUACUGUAAAAAAUCUACUUUUUAUUUUCAGUAGCAGAAGCAGAGACGGUCUGUGCAACAGCAACAAGGUGCGGGUCCAAACCCAUCUGUCAAGACGCUUGUCCACUUGCUGUCCACCCCACCAGCCCAACGAUUGUCCUGGAGAGCCUCUGACCACAAGUCAUAGAAAAAGAGAAUGUCAUUAUCAACUGGAACAGCUUGAGGGAGUACAGUGGUAGAGACAGAGAAGAAGUGCCCUUGACGAGGAAACCAUGGCAGCCAUAUAUACGUCAAGAAGAGAUUUCCAAAUGUGUCCAAAGAGGCUUUGAGGAUUUGAACUGGGGAAACUGAGACUUCUUGAAAGCAAAAAAGUUAUAUUUGUUUGAAUAUUGUAAUUUUUUUGAACAUUGUAAAGUAUGUUCCUUGCUGAUUAUUAUUCAAAUGUUCACUUGUUAUAGACAACAAAUAAAAGUUUUUCAAAUGUGACAUGUGAAUGUAUUUUCUUGGGUUGAAAUAUAU